UUGUUUGUUUGAAUGGUGGUCACGUGGCGGGGCGGUGACGUCACCCGCCUUGCCAGGCCUGGCGCCGCUGGAGCCAAAAGCAAAGACGUCAUCGGCCUCGGAGCGGGGUCCGCUGGUCGCGCGCUGGCUGGGGGCCCAGCCCCCGCCCCGCUGUCCGUCCUGUGCCUGGCGCGUCCCCGAGGCCCGGCUCCAGCCGCUCUCGGAGUGCCGCGGAGGGAGAGGGGGCGCGCUGCCAGCCGAGGGCUGACCUCCGGGGUGCCAGCGAUCCGGGAGAGCGCGCUGGGCCACCUGCCUGCCUCUCGCCUCCUCCCCGCCACCUUCUCUUCGCGACUCCUCCUCAGCCCAGUCGGAGCAGAAAGGAGCUGCCUGGGAUUUUGCGUACUUAUAGUUCCCUUUCUGUCAUUUUUUUCUUAUAAGCAGACGGGGAAACUGAGGCCACCUGGGAGAAGCGACUAACUUGGCCAGUAUCGCACUGCUGGGAUGUGGUUAGGGCCACAGAGAGCUCGAGGUGAGGGUUGUAGAAAACGACUUUGUCCGGGUUAAUGUAAUUCUUAUUAAGGAAGACGAAAGCGAACCGCUGGACAGAAGUUCGGGAAAAUGGUCGUUUCCUAGGACUUCUCUGUUACUUUAAAGAUAGUAUAAUUUUUUUCAACAAUGACCAAGGACAGUGUCCCAAAUCAAAGUCCCACUAGGGAAGAUGUUCCCACGCAAGUGGUCCCUAGAAGACAACCCACGGAAGGCGAGUCGGGAGGCUGGGAACUGCACUUCAGGGUUGAGCAUUUGGGGGCGCCAGGGCGACCGCAGCACUGUCUGACAGCGCCCCCUAGGGGCUGUCAGGCACGUUUUGUCACAGUGGCUCAAGACAGCUCAGUCGGUUUCUUUAUUCCACAAACACCGCUGAUUGGAAACCUACUUUGCGUUGGGUUCAGGGGCUCCAUCUGACAGAAGCCCGACCCAUCCGCCGCUGCCUUGGUCCUCGCCAUCUACAUAGGCUACACUGGGAAGCCAGUUGCAGAACGUUUUAAUCGAAUUCUCAGGGCCUGCGCCCCCAAACUUGGGACCACCUUAUGUGGUAUCUUCGUCCCGAACCCCAGCAACUGUCCCCUGGGCAGCAGAGCCCGCGGUGGUGGCGACGCCAAUGUGUGAGAUACACAAACAUAAACAUUGCGCCACCCAGCUGAGGUGCAGAAUCAGGAACAUUCUGCGGUUUCUAACUCCCUCCUGGGGGGAGGGAUUUUACUGGUCAGCCUGUGUUCUUGCUUUGCGGAUUGUAUCACCAGCGGCCACUUCUGCAUUUGCCUCCUUUACCAUGUAUGUUUUCACAUUCUCGAACUUUCCCCCUGGAUGCUUCUAGAAGUUCAGGCCACUGAGUGCUUUUUUUAAAAGGGCGUUUCCCCACCGUCCUUUGAACAUUGGUUGAUGACAACAAAGUUCUCAGAUAAGGGUAACACCCUCCCUGCAUCUCAAGAGAGGGAGAAAAAAAAAUAUUACUUGUUUAUUCUACUUAUUCAGCAGAGGCCCUCAACAUAUUUUGGGGGUUGAAUCAUAGAAUGUUACAGUGGCUGUCUUUCCACUGCAUACCAACUUGAUUUGCCCCAAUUCAUUUAUUUAUUUCUAAGCAAGAGCAUUCAUUUUACCUUCCACUAACCAAAAUUUUAUACAAAUAUCGUAGUUGGUGUAAUCUGGCACUGGAGGUGUGUCCACUGGCCUCUGACUUUUCCUCUGUCCCUUACCAGAAAGAGACAAAGACCAGGCUCAAACCCCAUGCUGUCAUUUCAUAGCUGGAUGACCCUGGGCAACGGUCUUGCUCUGUCGAGGCCUCCAAGCCAGCAUUAUAUAGUGAAUGUACAACAGCCUACUUUGUGAGAGGCAGUAGGUAUAAGGAAUCAAGCCUUAUCCCACGCCCUCUUAUCAUGACUCAUUGAAUCUCAUGGAUUUUCCCUUCCCAGAAAGCAAUUUUUAUAUCAUCCUGACAUUCUGUGUUACGGGCUUCAGCAUCAGAAACUACCAGCGGGUCACUGAAGGACAGAGGCUCAGAAGAGAUAUUGGAGAUGUGAGUAGGGCAGAGGCCCCACUGGGGAACCUCCCUCUUUGGUGUAGGCUGGCUCCACACUGUUAGGGUCAGUCGGCCACCCGCCCAGACACUGGUGGUAAAAGUCAGGCCCCAGUACCAGCAAUGGAGAUUCCACUUCUCAACAGGGGACAGAUCCAGUGAAAAGCAGAAUAAUGUGACCUCUGGUGACUGCAGAGGGGCGCCAGGUUGGUGCUUUGGGCAUGGCUGGUGGAGGGGGCUGGAGCAGGAUGAAUCAGAGGAGUUGACUCAGCCUUUCUGACUUGGGUUCUUCCUGAUUCUUUUUUGUUUUAAGAGACAGAUUUAUGUCACCCAGGCUGGUCUUGACCUCACAGAAAUCCUCCUGCCUCAGCCUCUCGAGUGCUGGGAUUACAGGCAUGUGCCACCACGCCUGGCUCUUCCAGAUUUAGAGAAGUUUAAAAACAAACCUAAAAGCAGUAUGGGAACGUGAGAAGGCCCAGCCAAAGGCCUGGCCUGGACUCUUCACAUUCAUUGUGUGGCCUUGAGUAAGUUACGUCAACUUGUAGUGAUGGAUGGAGAGAAUAGUGACAUUUACUUCUAGAGGGUGGGGGAGAGACACUAGCCUACAAGCCCUGUCCUAACGCUGCCAUCAAAAUUGCCUUUGAAUCUGUCUUGGAAUCACAGAGAAUGAAAGGCACAGCACUUAUGGAAGACAAUCACAAAUGGCCCCAGCACACUGGCUGCUCUAUGACCUUGGGCAAGCAGCCUAUCAUUCCUGAGCCUCAGUUUCUCCAUUUGUACAUUGCAAAUAAUAUCCAUCUAGAACUAAGGGGAACAGAAAAGGCCUGUGGUGGCUCAUACCCUGCUCCUCAGGAGAGACAGUGUGGCCCACAGGUCUCCUUCAGAAUCCGCUGCUGUUUUGCUGUCUGGUGGCUCCUCAUCAUGCUCUGUAACCCACUAUGACCCCUAUUCCCCACCGAGGCCAAAGCUGCCACUCCCAGGCUCCUUUGGCCAUCUGUCUGGCUCAGUCGUUUCUUCCCUUGGAGUUUCCUGUGUGUGCCUCGCUGGGCCUGUUUUCCUGGAACCUUUUUGUCUUUUCUCACCCACAUCUUUGCUUGUGCAGUUCCACCUCUCCAGGCCAGAAUGCUGUCCGCUGUAGGCUCCUCAUCCUCUUUUCCCAUCCUCCAAGACCCAGCAAAAGUGCUCUGUGUGUGAAGACUCUCUUGGUUUCUCCAGCCUCCCUCUCUCCUGGGCUCUGGAGGGCCUCGGCACAUACCCUGAUCCUGUGAAAGUCACUUAGAUCUGUAUCUUAUGCCCCUGGGUUGCCAGUUUGUCAGUUCAGGGACAGGGAUUGUGCCCACUCUUUGGACCCCACAUCCUGUUGCCUUUGGUGCAGUGCCUGGCCCAUAGUAGGCCCACAAUUUGUGAAACAGCCGAAUUCUUUAAGCACACCAUUAGAAGGUGACAUUAGAGAAGAGGUGGAAAGGGACGUGUACUGCACUGUGCGGGAUCAUUCCAUGAGCUCAUCAGUGAUCCAGGGCAAGGCAUAGGCUCUGACAGGAGACAGCACCAGGGCCCACAGCUGAUGAGCAUCAGAAGCAGAUCCAGACCCAGGCUCUGUUCAGCUUGGGAGAUGGAGCCGGGCCCAGGUGCGUGGCCACUAAACCCCACUCUGUUGGGGACUCGGCUUCUGUGAGCCCCAUGCCAGGCAGCAAUGGCUAAGGCCUCUGCCUCCCAGCUGGCCUGGAGCUCUCCUUCCUGCAAAAGGGUCCCUGGCACCAGCUCUGGAGGAAGCCUGGAGCCUUCUAGGAGCAUCGGCUCAGGCUGAAAUGUCCCUGCCACCUCUCCCUGGUCAUUCAGUGCAGAGCCAGACAGAGACACUCAGCAGGACCCACCCUGAGCAGUUAGCAAGAGCUGACUUCAGCCCCCACACCUAAUGCCCACACAGGCAUUAGGACAGAGCCAGUUGCUGUUGCACAAUUCCUGCAAGCAGAUUUUUCAGAGUCAGGCCCGAGAGGCUCUGUGGAGCUGUGUCAUCUCAUUCAGCCUCGUCAUUGGAGAGAUGAGGGCUCAGAGAGGUUAAGCAAUUUGUCCACGGUCACACAGUGUUCAGAACAUUCUAACUCUAGUCAGAGUGGUAUGACUGUGUAUACAAACACUUAUCACUGUUUAUCUCUGGACAUUGGAGCUCCUCUUAUUAGAGACAGAAACUAAAAGGCACUCAGAGAGGAACUAGGCCCUCAAAGGAAUCAAUGCAAAAUAUGAAACAUCAAAAUUAUGGCAGGAGACAAAUUAGGAGAGAGCCAGUUCUGCGAGCCUCCCUAGAGAGAGGCAGCACCUUAAGAGCGUACUAUAACCAGCACCCCCUGUUCCAGGGAGCCUCGGUGGGGCAUCAGAUGCAUAGGUAGGUGACAGAACACCCUGACCCAGACUCCUGUCCUUUCCCCAAAAUGCCUUCAAUUGUUCUCCGUUAGAAGUUACAGAUAGCUGAAGUAUGCCACACACCCUUGCUCUGUGCCUCGAUUCCCUAUUGGCUUAAUAUUAGCUAAGCUACUAUUCUUGUAACCACAUAGGUUGGCCUCAGCUUGGCCAAGUGGUCUGAGACUCACAUAAGAAACCCCAGAGGAAGAGCCUCAGCAGAACCCACUUUCAGGACCCUUCCUGUCCCUCCGGAGCUUUCUUCCCUAACCUUUUCCUACUCUUGACCUCCUUGGAUCCAUUCUUCAAUUCUGGGGAGACGUGGAGUCAGCAUGUCCGACAAGUUGAGCGCCACUUCCCUGUGAUGCUUUCUUAUCAAUUUAUGUGAUAUUGAGCUGAGCAUGGUGGCACAUACCUGUAAUCCCAACACGCGGGAGGCUGAGGCAGAAGGAUUACUGUGAGUUUGAGGUUAGCUUGGACUAUAUAGUGACACCCUGUCUCAAAUGAUAAUAAUUUGUAUGGCAGGAUUUUUCUAAGUCAAAUGUGUAACUUUUGUAACCAAAAGAAAAAACAAAAACAUUUAAAAACACGUGUUCUUAAAAUCAAGUAAGCUUUAGUCAGGGGAGAGGCCUCAUUGCUUGAUAGACAAAAUGAGAAUAAUAGUGUUUAUCUUGUAGAGCUGAGAAUGUCCUUGAGACAAGGAUUGACAAAAUACAGUCUCUGAACCAUACCUAGCCCUCUAUUUCUUUUUGUAUAACCCACAAGCUAGGAGUAGUUUUUACAUUUUAAAUGGUUGGAAGAAAUUUAAAAAACCAUCACACUUUGUGACCCAUGAAAGUUACAAGGAAGUCAAUGUCAACUUCCAUAAAGUUUUAUUAACAUAUAGCCUCGCCCUUUAUUUACAUAUUAUUUAUCGCUGUUUUUUGGUUAGUUUUCGGUCUUUAGGGACAGGGUCUCCCUAUGUAGUCUAGGCUGAUCUUAAAUGCACUGUGUACCCCAGACUGGCCUCAAAUUCACAGUGCUCCUCCUGCCUCAGCCCCCCAAGUGCUGGGAUUACAGGCAUAUGCAACCAUGCCGAGUUUAUGGUUGCUUUUGAGUUUGGAAAAGGGGCUAGUUAUAACAGGGACCACAGGACUCAUAAGGUCUUAGAGCGCCAUCCCUGCCCUUUGCAGGAAGCCUGCUUCCCUUGACUGAAGAUCAUGGACCGAAGGACCUGCAGAGCGAUACCAUGCACAGGGACUCUUCCUUGGGGAAAGGAGGAAGAGGAGCUAUCAGCAGUGUGUGCAGCAUGGAGGGUGGAGACUUGGACAUCCCGCCUUCGUGGGAACUCUCCUAGAUGUUGAAGACAUCACUCUGUAGAAGGAUGACCAAGCUUCUGCCAUGGACGGAAUCUCCAUUCUGGGCUGAGAGGGUUGGAGCCAGACUACACCUAUCACAGAAAGAGGCUAUUAGGUUUUUAGCACGACCACAAGCCCUUUGACCUAUGUGGGUCGACUGAAGUCUGCCCUGGAGGUUGGACUGACACAAGCGAAAGUGGCAAAGACUGUAUAGUGUCCACACCACCACCAUCAUCCUGCGCCUAAAGGCUGCUUGUUAAAUCCUGCCAGCACCCUGCUGGGAAGAGGCAGACAAUAAACAAUAGGCAAACACCCUGAGCUGAUCAGCUUUGGUCUGCCGUGUUGUACCCUGGUAUGUUGGACAGGCCAGAAAGCAGUGAAGCCAGAUGGUCAUCAGCUGGAACUGUGAGACAAACUUUUGAAACUCUGACUUCAGUCAGAAAAAUGAAUGCCUAGUGUGAUGGUUAUCUUGGCUGUCACCCUGAUCUGCGUGAGAGACACGUAGGAGAUUGUUACCAUGGUCCAGCAAUUCCACUUCCAGUAUAAACCUAAAGGGACUGAAAGCGGAAACCCAGACAGACUCUGCUCAGCUGCUUUCAUGGCAGUCUUAGAAGGAACUGGCCACGGACAAACAGGAAAACACAGUGCGUACACUCCCUGACUUAGGAGGCUUGGCCUUGUGAGUUUUUUUAUUUUACAACGAUAGGAAAAGAAAACACAUUACAGAAUUGUACUUUGAAUUUUGAACUUUGAUCUUUUCUUCUCUGGGCCACAUAACCCUCUCUGGACUCUGAGCAGCCCUACCCAGCGCAGCUGCCUGUCAACGUGCGAUCCAGGAGAAAUGACCAGGGCGCCACUUGCUGAGUGGCCAGCUGGGCUGCGCCCUAGGUCAGGCAGAUUCGACGCAUUUUAAAUUUGUGAUAUUUUCAGCUUAUGAUGGGUUUACCAAGAUGCAGCUCCGUUAGUUGGGGAACAUGUUUAUAAACAAUGGAAUGUUCUGUCUUUUCCACCAAAGGAAUAAAAAGGUCUCUGUUCAUGAUUA
Long non-coding RNA from Cavia porcellus (domestic guinea pig), 6829 nucleotides. RefSeq lists it as uncharacterized. The record is from RefSeq and is a predicted model, not a curated record. The transcript is spliced from 6 exons. Lineage: Eukaryota; Metazoa; Chordata; Mammalia; Rodentia; Caviidae.